GAGACCUCAGGUCAGGCAGGGCUAC
Molecule: ribosomal RNA, 25 nt
Filed under: Phaseolus acutifolius (tepary bean)
Lineage: Eukaryota; Viridiplantae; Streptophyta; Magnoliopsida; Fabales; Fabaceae
Description: partial large subunit ribosomal RNA
Source: RNAcentral